RNAcentral lists this ribosomal RNA (497 nucleotides) under uncultured bacterium. Its description in RNAcentral is "partial 16S ribosomal RNA". It matches the Rfam family "Bacterial small subunit ribosomal RNA", at positions 28 to 507 of the family's 1533-position model. The record is from RNAcentral.
GAUGAACGCUGGCGGCGUGCCUAAUACAUGCAAGUCGAGCGAACAGACGAGGAGCUUGCUCCUCUGACGUUAGCGGCGGACGGGUGAGUAACACGUGGAUAACCUACCUAUAAGACUGGGAUAACUUCGGGAAACCGGAGCUAAUACCGGAUAAUAUAUUGAACCGCAUGGUUCAAUAGUGAAAGACGGUUUUGCUGUCACUUAUAGAUGGAUCCGCGCCGCAUUAGCUAGAUGGUAAGGUAACGGCUUACCAAGGCAACGAUGCGUAGCCGACCUGAGAGGGUGAUCGGCCACACUGGAGGUGAGACACGGUCCAGACGCCUACGGGAGGCAGCAGUAGGGAAUCUUCCGCAAUGGGCGAAAGCCUGACGGAGCAACGCCGCGUGAGUGAUGAAGGUCUUCGGAUCGUAAAACUCUGUUAUUAGGGAAGAACAAAUGUGUAAGUAACUAUGCACGUCUUGACGGUACCUAAUCAGAAAGCCACGGCUAACUACGUG